AACGAACGCUGGCGGCAGGCCUAACACAUGCAAGUCGAGCGGCACCUUCGGGUGUAGCGGCGGACGGGUGAGUAACGCGUGGGAACGUACCCUUUGCUACGGAAUAGCCUCGGGAAACUGGGAGUAAUACCGUAUGUGCCCUUCGGGGGAAAGAUUUAUCGGCAAAGGAUCGGCCCGCGUUGGAUUAGGUAGUUGGUGGGGUAAUGGCCUACCAAGCCGACGAUCCAUAGCUGGUUUGAGAGGAUGAUCAGCCACACUGGGACUGAGACACGGCCCAGACUCCUACGGGAGGCAGCAGUGGGGAAUCUUAGACAAUGGGCGCAAGCCUGAUCUAGCCAUGCCGCGUGAGCGAUGAAGGCCUUAGGGUUGUAAAGCUCUUUCAGUGGGGAAGAUAAUGACGGUACCCACAGAAGAAGCCCCGGCUAACUCCGUGCCAGCAGCCGCGGUAAU
Molecule: ribosomal RNA, 450 nt
Filed under: uncultured bacterium
Lineage: Bacteria
Description: bacterial SSU rRNA
Rfam family: Bacterial small subunit ribosomal RNA
Source: RNAcentral